AGAGUUUGAUCAUGGCUCAGGAUGAACGCUGGCGGUCUGCUUAACACAUGCAAGUCGAACGCAUCUUUCGGGGUGAGUGGCGGACGGGUGAGUAACGCGUGAGAAUCUGCCUAGAGGUCGGGGACAACCAUUGGAAACGAUGGCUAAUACCGGAUAUGCCUUACGGGGUGAAAGAUUAAUCGCCUUUAGAAGAGCUCGCGUCUGAUUAGCUAGUUGGUAGGGUAAAAGCCUACCAAGGCAUCGAUCAGUAGCUGGUCUGAGAGGAUGACCAGCCACACUGGGACUGAGACACGGUCCAGACUCCUACGGGAGGCAGCAGUAGGGAAUUUUCCACAAUGGGGGCAACCCUGAUGGAGCAACGCCGCGUGCAGGAUGAAUGCCUUAGGGUUGUAAACUGCUUUUAUAUGUGACGAUUUUGACGGUAGCAUAUGAAUAAGGAUCGGCUAACUCCGUGCCAGCAGCCGCGGUCAUACGGAGGAUCCAAGCGUUAUCCGGAAUUACUGGGCGUAAAGAGUUGCGUAGGUGGCUAAGUAAGCAGGGUAUGAAAGCGUGUGGCUCAACCAUACAGCUAUACUCUGAACUGCUUUGGCUAGAGAGCGAGAGAGGUAGAUGGAAUUGCUAGUGUAGGAGUGAAAUCCGUAGAUAUUAGCAGGAACACCGAUGGCGUAGGCAGUCUACUGGCUCGUUUCUGACACUAAGGCACGAAAGCAUGGGGAGCAAACAGGAUUAGAUACCCCAGUAGUCC
RNAcentral lists this ribosomal RNA (745 nucleotides) under uncultured soil bacterium. RNAcentral describes it as "bacterial SSU rRNA". It matches the Rfam family "Bacterial small subunit ribosomal RNA", at positions 8 to 796 of the family's 1533-position model. The record is from RNAcentral.